RNAcentral lists this ribosomal RNA (711 nucleotides) under Suillus spraguei. Its description in RNAcentral is "eukaryotic LSU rRNA". It matches the Rfam family "Eukaryotic large subunit ribosomal RNA", at positions 175 to 863 of the family's 3401-position model. The record is from RNAcentral. Lineage: Eukaryota; Fungi; Basidiomycota; Agaricomycetes; Boletales; Suillaceae.
CCGUGUAUAAGUUUCCUGGAAUGGAACGUCGUAGAGGGUGACAAUCCCGUCUUUGACACGGACUCCCAGGGCUAUGUGAUGCGCUCUCGACGAGUCGAGUUGUUUGGGAAUGCAGCUCAAAUAGGGUGGUAAAUUCCAUCUAAAGCUAAAUACAGGCGAGAGACCGAUAGCGAACAAGUACCGUGAGGGAAAGAUGAAAAGAACUUUGGAAAGAGAGUUAAACAGUACGUGAAAUUGCUGAAAGGGAAACGCUUGAUGUCAGUCGCAUCGUCCGGGGAUCAGCCUCGCUUUUUUGCUCGGCGUACUUCCUGGUCGAUGGGUCAGCAUCGGUUUCGACCGUCGGAAAAUGGCUCGAGGAACGUGGCACUCUUCGGGGUGUGUUAUAGACUCGGGUCGAAUACGACGGUCGGGACCGAGGAACUCAGCACGACCUUCGGGUUCGGGGCUUCGGCUCACGUUACCGUGCUUAGGAUGCUGGCAUAAUGGCCUUAAGCGACCCGUCUUGAAACACGGACCAAGGAGUCUAACUCGCGUGCGAGUGUUUGGGUGAUUAAAACCCGGGCGCGUAAUGAAAGUGAAAGUCGAGACCUCUGUCGUGGAGGGCACCGACGCCCGGACCAGAGCUUUUGCGAAGGAUCUGCGGUAGAGCACGCGUGUUGGGACCCGAAAGAUGGUGAACUAUGCCUGAAUAGGGUGAAGCCAGAGGAAACU